CAAAGGAGGUUUGAGAGCAGCCCGGCCUCAAGUGCCCCUCGGGAUCCCCGAGUGCCCCCUGGGGACCCCAGUCUGCUCCCCCGUUCCCUCAGAGUUGUCCCGGAAUCCAAGUCCAAGCUCUCUAGAGCCCCAAAUGUCGCCCCAGGCCCCUACGUGCCUCCCAAUUACCUCCCCUUCCCCGGUGUUCCCCUAUAGCGCCUCGGGGACCUCCAACUCGAUGCCACCAGAUCCCAGUCUGCCCAUAAGUGCGUCCCGCAGUCGCUCAAAUUCCUCCCGAGACCACCAGCCCCGCGGGGGGCAGUGCAGGGUCAGCAUUUCGGGGGCCCUCGCCCCAUCCCCAACCCUCUCCUCCCCCCCAGCCAGGCCCUGCUCUGGCCCCGCCCCCGCAGGCCAGAGAGGGCGAAGCCUCCGCUUGGCUCAGCCCCCUGCAGCUCCACCCUCGAUGACCCCCUCGAACGAUGGCGCUUGAGGCGGUGCCGUGGGGAGGAGACAGCGCUGGACACGCCCCUGGUAGGCGGGGCCUUGCUUGGCUCUGCUGCUCCCCAGGGUGCCCUACCGGGAGUGCCACAGGGGCUGUCACGUGACCCGCCGGGGGGCCUGCAGGGGGCCGUGCCCUGGGAAUCACGUGACUUCCCUGAGGCCCUUUGGCCAAUCAGGAGACACUUCCGCGAGCACCAGGUGGCGCCUUCACCCCAGGCCAUCUCCCAGGAACCCUUAUGGCAGGAGCCCUGUUGGAGGUCACAGGUCUCCCACAAGGCCCUCUGGCCAAUGAGGAGCAGUUCUCCGGAUACCCUGCUGGGGGCACUAUACUCACAGUCCCGUGAUGCCCACGAGGCCUCGUGGCAAAUCAGCAGCAGCUGCUGUGCAUCUCUGCACCAGGGGGCGCCACCCGGUGGAAAGCGAGGGUCCCACGAACCUUUGCGGCAGGAGCCAUUUUGGGGGUCACAUGACUGCCUCGGGCAUCUGCAGUGUGUGCCCUGGUGGGAAUCACGUGACUCCCAGGGUGCCCCGCCAUCUGCACCAGAGGCGCUUCCGGAGCCCCUUCGCCGGGGAGGGCUGGGCUUCAGGUCACGUGACCCGUGUGAGGCCCCUCAGCCAAUCAGGAGCAGUGCUCAUGAUGCCUUACAGGAGGCGCCGUUGCAGGAGCCACUGGGUGAGGCACCAGAGGAGCCCUUGUGGGCAAGGGAGUCACUUGAGGGCUGGUGGGCAUUUGUGGGCCAGGCGGGGUCACUGGUGGGGGCACUGGUGGGGGUGGAGGUGUCCUUGUGGGCCACGGGGGUCAUUUGUGGGCCAGGAGCGGGAACUUGUGGGGAUGGGGGGAACAGCUGUGGGCCAGGGGUCACUUGAGGGGCUGAAGGGGCAGUUGUGGGUUAGGGAGGCACUUCUGGCUCAGGAAGUCCCUUGUGGUGCUCGGGGAACACUUGUGGGACUGUCACCCCCUGUGACAUGUAGCCCCCCCAGGCCCUCUGGGGGACCACCUCCUCUGGAUGCUGCGAUGCCACCGCCGGGCGAUAAGCGGACGCCUUCGGGCCAUCGAGACCCUCCUGGAAUGCCCACCUGGGCACUCCCAACCCAUGGUGGGGCCAAUAAAGCAGUAACACCCCAAAAUUGCAGCAGGGAGGUGUGGAGACCUCCCAAAUCCCCUCCCUUACCUCCCCCACUUUUGGGAUUGCCCCCAGUCUCCUGUCUCCCAUAAGUCCCCAGGAGCAUUUAGAGGACUCUGGGGUCUCAAAAGAGGGUGUUGCCGGGGUGCUGGGUGUCCCCAGGGGGUCCGUGAGGGUCUGUGGGGUGUUUGGAGGGGCUCUGGGGCUGCAGAAAGGGUUUGGGGGGUGUAUGGGGAGCACUGGAAAUCGUGAGUGGUUGGGGGGGGGCACUGGGUGUCUAUCGAGGGUCCAGAAGAGGGCCCCCGAUAGUCUGUGGGAUCUGGGAGGGGGGGAACUCUAGGGGUGUUGGGAUGGGUCUGUGGAAGAUGUUGGGAGUCCAGGAAAGGGUUUGGGGGACCCAGGAAAGGUUGGGGGAGGGGGGGGGCGUUCGUGGUGUUAAGAAUAAUAUGUU
Molecule: long non-coding RNA, 2055 nt
Organism: Cyanistes caeruleus (blue tit)
Lineage: Eukaryota; Metazoa; Chordata; Aves; Passeriformes; Paridae
Source: Ensembl